This 253-nucleotide ribosomal RNA is filed under the name uncultured bacterium. RNAcentral's name for it is "partial 16S ribosomal RNA". It matches the Rfam family "Bacterial small subunit ribosomal RNA", at positions 524 to 776 of the family's 1533-position model. The record is from RNAcentral.
UACGAAGGGGGCUAGCGUUGCUCGGAAUUACUGGGCGUAAAGCGCACGUAGGCGGAUUGUUAAGUCGGGGGUGAAAUCCUGGAGCUCAACUCCAGAACUGCCUUCGAUACUGGAAGACUUGAGUCCGGGAGAGGUGAGUGGAACUGCGAGUGUAGAGGUGAAAUUCGUAGAUAUUCGCAAGAACACCAGUGGCGAAGGCGGCUCACUGGCCCGGUACUGACGCUGAGGUGCGAAAGCGUGGGGAGCAAACAGG